CUUCGGGUUGUAAACCUCUUUUAUCGGGGAGCAAGCGAGAGUGAGUUUACCCGUUGAAUAAGCACCGGCUAACUACGUGCCAGCAGCCGCGGUAAUACGUAGGGUGCAAGCGUUAUCCGGAAUUAUUGGGCGUAAAGGGCUCGUAGGCGGUUCGUCGCGUCCGGUGUGAAAGUCCAUCGCUUAACGGUGGAUCCGCGCCGGGUACGGGCGGGCUUGAGUGCGGUAGGGGAGACUGGAAUUCCCGGUGUAACGGUGGAAUGUGUAGAUAUCGGGAAGAACACCAAUGGCGAAGGCAGGUCUCUGGGCCGUUACUGACGCUGAGGAGCGAAAGCGUGGGGAGCGAACAGGAUUAGAUACCCUGGUAGUCCACGCCGUAAACGGUGGAUGCUGGAUGUGGGGCCCGUUCCACGGGUUCCGUGUCGGAGCUAACGCGUUAAGCAUCCCGCCUGGGGAGUACGGCCGCAAGGCUAAAACUCAAAGAAAUUGACGGGGGCCCGCACAAGCGGCGGAGCAUGCGGAUUAAUUCGAUGCAACGCGAAGAACCUUACCUGGGCUUGACAUGUUCCCGACGGUCGUAGAGAUACGGCUUCCCUUCGGGGCGGGUUCACAGGUGGUGCAUGGUCGUCGUCAGCUCG
RNAcentral lists this ribosomal RNA (635 nucleotides) under uncultured bacterium. RNAcentral's name for it is "bacterial SSU rRNA". It matches the Rfam family "Bacterial small subunit ribosomal RNA", at positions 416 to 1062 of the family's 1533-position model. The record is from RNAcentral.